Molecule: ribosomal RNA, 253 nt
Filed under: uncultured bacterium
Lineage: Bacteria
Description: partial 16S ribosomal RNA
Rfam family: Bacterial small subunit ribosomal RNA
Source: RNAcentral
UACGUAGGGGGCAAGCGUUGUCCGGAUUUAUUGGGCGUAAAGAGCGUGUAGGCGGCCGUACAGGUCAGCUGUGAAAACUCGAGGCUCAACCUCGAGACGUCGGUUGAAACCGUACGGCUAGAGUCCGGAAGAGGCGAGUGGAAUUCCCGGUGUAGCGGUGAAAUGCGCAGAUAUCGGGAGGAACACCUAUGGCGAAGGCAGCUCGCUGGGACGUUACUGACGCUGAGACGCGAAAGCGUGGGGAGCGAACAGG